RNAcentral lists this ribosomal RNA (426 nucleotides) under uncultured bacterium. Its description in RNAcentral is "partial 16S ribosomal RNA". It matches the Rfam family "Bacterial small subunit ribosomal RNA", at positions 354 to 796 of the family's 1533-position model. The record is from RNAcentral.
GUGAGGAAUUUUCCGCAAUGGGCGAAAGCCUGACGGAGCAAUGCCGCGUGAAGGAUGAAGGCCUAUGGGUUGUAAACUUCUUUUCUCAGAAAAGAAUUAUGACGGUAUCUGAGGAAUAAGCAUCGGCUAACUCUGUGCCAGCAGCCGCGGUAAGACAGAGGAUGCAAGCGUUAUCCGGAAUGAUUGGGCGUAAAGCGUGCGUAGGCGGUCUCGUAAGUUAGGAGUGAAAGCCCAGGGCUCAACCUUGGAAUUGCUCUUAAAACUGCAAGGCUAGAAUCUCGGAGAGGAUAGCGGAAUUUCCAGUGUAGCAGUGAAAUGCGUAGAUAUUGGAAGGAACACCAGUGGCGUAAGCGGCUAUCUGGACGAGUAUUGACGCUGAGGCACGAAAGCGUGGGGAUCAAACAGGAUUAGAAACCCUUGUAGUCC